This 899-nucleotide long non-coding RNA is filed under the name Callithrix jacchus (white-tufted-ear marmoset). RNAcentral describes it as "lncRNA (ENSCJAG00000083396.1)". The record is from RNAcentral. Lineage: Eukaryota; Metazoa; Chordata; Mammalia; Primates; Cebidae.
UCAACACCCAAUCCAGUUUCCAGAAAAUGUUAGUUUGCUUACUCCCAGAGUGGGAUUUGUCUGUUUCCUGAAUGGUUUCUGCACUGGACAGGCCUUGAGGGGCUGGCAACCACAGUACAUGCUAGAUGACUAGAAAGAAGGUUUCCAGUCCCCAUCUUUCUCUUCUUUUCUGCUCAGCACUCCUGCAGAAGCAUAGGAAAGUGAGGCUAUUUAUUGGUGAUUUAUUCACAGGGACAUUCCUGUGCUCCCUGCUCUUUCCCCCUCUGUUUGAGUAGGACUCCCCAAGAAAGUACUUCUUAGAUCAUUUAUUUUUAAUAGGGUGUGAACAGCUGAGAUGGUGUGGCUGUGCCUUGGUUCCCAGUACUUUUGUACUCUUUUUUGGACCUUCUAUCAUGUCAGAAACCCAUUACCCCAGUCUAAUUCUAAGACAUCAGACAAACCCCAACUGAGGCACAUUCUACAAAAUAUCUCAUUGGUAUUCCUCAAAACUGCCAAGAUCAUCAAAAGCAAGGGAAGUCUGAGAAAUCUCACAGCCCACAGGAACCUAAAGAGACAUUACAACCAAAUGCAAUGUGAUGUCUUGGAUGGGAUCUUGAAAUGGAAAAAGUACAUGAGGAAAUCUGAAUAAACUAUAAAUUUUAAUUAAUAACAAUGUGUCAAUAUUAGUUCAUUUAUUAUAACAAAUGUACCCUACUAAUGUAGAAUGUUAGCAAUCGGGGAAUUGGGGUACCAAGUGCUGAGGAAACUCUGUGUUAUCUUCACAAUCUUUCUGGGGUUCUAAAACUGUUCUAAAAACUGAAGUUUAUUUCAAAAAAAACCCUGUCCAGAUUAUGUGUUUCUAAUUAAGUCAUUUGACUCGUUCACGCCUGAGUGGAGUUGCUUUGUCAUUUUGAAACCGA